This 2724-nucleotide ribosomal RNA is filed under the name Salmonella enterica subsp. enterica serovar Typhimurium. RNAcentral describes it as "partial 23S ribosomal RNA". It matches the Rfam family "Bacterial large subunit ribosomal RNA". The record is from RNAcentral. Lineage: Bacteria; Pseudomonadati; Pseudomonadota; Gammaproteobacteria; Enterobacterales; Enterobacteriaceae.
CAGUCAGAGGCGAUGAAGGGCGUGCUAAUCUGCGAUAAGCGCCGGUAAGGUGAUAUGAACCGUUAUAACCGGCGAUACCCGAAUGGGGAAACCCAGUGUGAUUCGUCACACUAUCAUUAACUGAAUCCAUAGGUUAAUGAGGCGAACCGGGGGAACUGAAACAUCUAAGUACCCCGAGGAAAAGAAAUCAACCGAGAUUCCCCCAGUAGCGGCGAGCGAACGGGGAGGAGCCCAGAGCCUGAAUCAGCAUGUGUGUUAGUGGAAGCGUCUGGAAAGGCGCGCGAUACAGGGUGACAGCCCCGUACACAAAAGCGCAUGUGCUGUGAGCUCGAUGAGUAGGGCGGGACACGUGGUAUCCUGUCUGAAUAUGGGGGGACCAUCCUCCAAGGCUAAAUACUCCUGACUGACCGAUAGUGAACCAGUACCGUGAGGGAAAGGCGAAAAGAACCCCGGCGAGGGGAGUGAAAAAGAACCUGAAACCGUGUACGUACAAGCAGUGGGAGCNNNNNNNNNNNNNNNNNNNNNNNGGGCGUUAAGUUGCAGGGUAUAGACCCGAAACCCGGUGAUCUAGCCAUGGGCAGGUUGAAGGUUGGGUAACACUAACUGGAGGACCGAACCGACUAAUGUUGAAAAAUUAGCGGAUGACCUGUGGCUGGGGGUGAAAGGCCAAUCAAACCGGGAGAUAGCUGGUUCUCCCCGAAAGCUAUUUAGGUAGCGCCUCGUGAAUUCAUCUCCGGGGGUAGAGCACUGUUUCGGCUAGGGGGCCAUCCCGGCUUACCAACCCGAUGCAAACUGCGAAUACCGGAGAAUGUUAUCACGGGAGACACACGGCGGGUGCUAACGUCCGUCGUGAAGAGGGAAACAACCCAGACCGCCAGCUAAGGUCCCAAAGUCAUGGUUAAGUGGGAAACGAUGUGGGAAGGCCCAGACAGCCAGGAUGUUGGCUUAGAAGCAGCCAUCAUUUAAAGAAAGCGUAAUAGCUCACUGGUCGAGUCGGCCUGCGCGGAAGAUGUAACGGGGCUAAACCAUGCACCGAAGCUGCGGCAGCGANNUGCUGGAGGUAUCAGAAGUGCGAAUGCUGACAUAAGUAACGAUAAAGCGGGUGAAAAGCCCGCUCGCCGGAAGACCAAGGGUUCCUGUCCAACGUUAAUCGGGGCAGGGUGAGUCGACCCCUAAGGCGAGGCCGAAAGGCGUAGUCGAUGGGAAACGGGUUAAUAUUCCCGUACUUGGUGUUACUGCGAAGGGGGGACGGAGAAGGCUAUGUUGGCCGGGCGACGGUUGUCCCGGUUUAAGCGUGUAGGUGUGUGUUCCAGGUAAAUCCGGUUCACUUUAACACUGAGGCGUGACGACGAGGCACUACGGUGCUGAAGCAACAAAUGCCCUGCUUCCAGGAAAAGCCUCUAAGCAUCAGGUAACACGAAAUCGUACCCCAAACCGACACAGGUGGUCAGGUAGAGAAUACCAAGGCGCUUGAGAGAACUCGGGUGAAGGAACUAGGCAAAAUGGUGCCGUAACUUCGGGAGAAGGCACGCUGACACGUAGGUGAAGUGAUUUACUCAUGGAGCUGAAGUCAGUCGAAGAUACCAGCUGGCUGCAACUGUUUAUUAAAAACACAGCACUGUGCAAACACGAAAGUGGACGUAUACGGUGUGACGCCUGCCCGGUGCCGGAAGGUUAAUUGAUGGGGUCAGCGCAAGCGAAGCUCCUGAUCGAAGCCCCGGUAAACGGCGGCCGUAACUAUAACGGUCCUAAGGUAGCGAAAUUCCUUGUCGGGUAAGUUCCGACCUGCACGAAUGGCGUAAUGAUGGCCAGGCUGUCUCCACCCGAGACUCAGUGAAAUUGAACUCGCUGUGAAGAUGCAGUGUACCCGCGGCAAGACGGAAAGACCCCGUGAACCUUUACUAUAGCUUGACACUGAACAUUGAGCCUUGAUGUGUAGGAUAGGUGGGAGGCUUUGAAGUGUGGACGCCAGUCUGCAUGGAGCCGACCUUGAAAUACCACCCUUUAAUGUUUGAUGUUCUAACGUGGACCCGUAAUCCGGGUUGCGGACAGUGUCUGGUGGGUAGUUUGACUGGGGCGGUCUCCUCCUAAAGAGUAACGGAGGAGCACGAAGGUUGGCUAAUCCUGGUCGGACAUCAGGAGGUUAGUGCAAUGGCAUAAGCCAGCUUGACUGCGAGCGUGACGGCGCGAGCAGGUGCGAAAGCAGGUCAUAGUGAUCCGGUGGUUCUGAAUGGAAGGGCCAUCGCUCAACGGAUAAAAGGUACUCCGGGGAUAACAGGCUGAUACCGCCCAAGAGUUCAUAUCGACGGCGGUGUUUGGCACCUCGAUGUCGGCUCAUCACAUCCUGGGGCUGAAGUAGGUCCCAAGGGUAUGGCUGUUCGCCAUUUAAAGUGGUACGCGAGCUGGGUUUAGAACGUCGUGAGACAGUUCGGUCCCUAUCUGCCGUGGGCGCUGGAGAACUGAGGGGGGCUGCUCCUAGUACGAGAGGACCGGAGUGGACGCAUCACUGGUGUUCGGGUUGUCAUGCCAAUGGCACUGCCCGGUAGCUAAAUGCGGAAGAGAUAAGUGCUGAAAGCAUCUAAGCACGAAACUUGCCCCGAGAUGAGUUCUCCCUGAGACUUAGAGUCUCCUGAAGGAACGUUGAAGACGACGACGUUGAUAGGCCGGGUGUGUAAGCGCAGCGAUGCGUUGAGCUAACCGGUACUAAUGAACCGUGAGGCUUAA